CUCUCUCUCUCUCUCUCUCUCUCUCUCUCUCUCUCUCUCUCUCUUUCUCUCUGUGGGGCAUGGGGGUGGGGUUGCAGGCUGUCUUUGUUUACCCAGGACAGUCAUGAAUCAUAUUCUGUAGAGCAGGCUGACCUUGAACUCAUAGAGAUCCACCUGCAUCUGCUUUCCUAAUGCUGGAGAUUGAAACCGUGUGCCCACACCACCCAGACUCAUGACCAUUCUUCUAAGACAGCUUGUAUGAAUUACUUUUUGCAUUCAAAAGAAUGACCUUCCAUGCUGGGAAAUGAUAAGCGAUGGCUCAGUGGUUAAAACUGAUUGCCCUGCAAGCAGAACAUGAGUUCAGAACCUAGCAACCAUGGAAAGAGGUGGCCAUGGUCUUCUCACUUCUCAUUACCCCAGCCCUGUUAGGGUACCUCAUAAACUAGAGGCCUGCUGGCUGACAGCCUGGCUAGAGACAAAGAGUUAGGGUCAGGUAAGAUGCUCUAUACCUUAGAAGUAUGGUUAGCUAUUCAUUGAGCAUUAUUAGGUUUACUAUUUAUUUAUGCUUCAACUCAGUGUCUGGGAAUGGACACUGCUAUUUUGGGCCUUUCUUAAUUAUCAUUAGCAUGUCUCCAUGUCUGCAGGUACAAGUGUGGUUAUCGGAGAGCAACUCUUGGUAUUGUUUCUUUCGCCAACUGCAUUUACUGACUAAUGUCUACCCAUAAUGACAUCUUUCUCACGGCUUUGACGCUCAUCUGUCCUUGGAUGGGCCUGGCUUGCUUAUUAUACCCCAGGGAGAACAUCUCCAUCUACAUGGAUUUCUUAAAAAAAUUGGGCAUGUGGGGCUGUUCUUUUUUUAAGGUCCUAUUCCCCAUUUGAUUCUUGAUCUGUAAAUAAAAAAGCCAUGAGCCAAUUGCUGGUCUGAAGAUACACAUGGAACUUCUGGUUCCUAGGAGGAAAAGGGGACACCAGGAAGCAAAGAUGGAGUUCCCCAUGCUCUACAGCGUGUACCCAGGUAGCUGUGUGAGGGCUCAGGAGAAGCAGUGGGCUAGGUUCUCCUCUAGGUGGGAGGUCAGAAAUGUCUGGCAGGAACUAGAUUCAAUUGACCGACUCAGUUAGGGAAGGAGGAGAGCUCAAAGCACUGAUAAGAGUGAAUUUUCCAGAUGGGAGUUAGUGGUGCCCAGAAAUUCUGCAAGAAGACAAGGUGCAAAUGAUCCGCUCUGUGUGUUUGUCUUCUAUUGUGGGAUUCAAGGGAAGCUGGGUGGAGGCUGGUAUCAUGGCCCAUUCCCAGAGCAAAGGUGGGUAGAGCAAAAUUGCACAAAACAUAUGGUCAUUCUCCGUGAGAGGUGUCUUUCACAUUCAUUCACCCCUGAAGUAGUUCCUAAAGAAAACGUCUGGGCCAUGCUGAGGUCUGUGGUCCCCGCUGAUGCUGAAGGCCAUGUGGAUGUCCGGGAUCCAUGUUGCAACUGACUGUAAAAGAAGCCAAAUGAAGCAGCAAGGAGGACUUCUCUCAGUACUCCUGAAAAGAACGAGAUACAGAGCCACAAACCGGAAUGGAGACAGUCUGAGGCAGACAGGCAAUGGGGGGAAGAGAUCUUGAGCAUGCAUGGUGAGAAGACAGUCAACCUGGGAACACCAUCUAUGAAAGGAGGGGGAACUCGGAAAUCCCAGCAAAUGGGAGGCAGAGGCAACAGGGUUCACAAGUUUAAAGUCAGUCUGCAGACAGAGCUUCAGGUCAAGACACCAACACAAUGACAGCUUGUCUCCAAAAAGCAAAACAAACAAACAACCGAAAAAUGAAAAAAUAAAAAUAAAAAAACCACGGAAAAAAAUAGAGUGAGAAGUCAUUUUAGAGGUGAGACACUUAUACAUCACAGACCGUCAGGAAAAUCCAAAGAACUCGAGUGUCCUCCCAAGCAUUGUAACAAAAUAAGAUGGCUGGGUGACUUGAAUAUCUGAAUUUUGAUUUCUCAGAGUUCUGCAGGCAGGACUCAGAGACAAGGUGCUGAAGUGAGCCUUGGCCUUUCUUGGGCGCUCUGUGCAGACGCCUACAUCCUCCCUGUGGGUUCUUAGCCUCCCUACCCUACACUACACACACACUC
RNAcentral lists this small RNA (2081 nucleotides) under Rattus norvegicus (Norway rat). Its description in RNAcentral is "uncharacterized LOC102553953". Lineage: Eukaryota; Metazoa; Chordata; Mammalia; Rodentia; Muridae. The record is from RNAcentral.